GACGAACGCUGGCGGCGUGCUUAACACAUGCAAGUCGAACGGAAAGGCCCUGCUUUUGUGGGGUGCUCGAGUGGCGAACGGGUGAGUAACACGUGAGUAACCUGCCCUUGACUUUGGGAUAACUUCAGGAAACUGGGGCUAAUACCGGAUAGGAGCUCCUGCUGCAUGGUGGGGGUUGGAAAGUUUCGGCGGUUGGGGAUGGACUCGCGGCUUAUCAGCUUGUUGGUGGGGUAGUGGCUUACCAAGGCUUUGACGGGUAGCCGGCCUGAGAGGGUGACCGGCGCCAUAGUGACUGAGAUACGGCCCAGACUCCUACGCGAGGGGGAGGUGGGGAAAAUUUCACAAUAGGCGGGAGCGUGUUGUAGCGCCGCCGCGUGCGGGAUGUGGGCCUUCGGGUUGUGAACCGCUUUCGCCUGUGACGAAGCGUGAGUGACGGUAAUGGGUAAAGAAGCACCGGCUAACUACGUG
This 468-nucleotide ribosomal RNA is filed under the name uncultured bacterium. Its description in RNAcentral is "partial 16S ribosomal RNA". It matches the Rfam family "Bacterial small subunit ribosomal RNA", at positions 28 to 507 of the family's 1533-position model. The record is from RNAcentral.